RNAcentral lists this long non-coding RNA (375 nucleotides) under Felis catus (domestic cat). Its description in RNAcentral is "lncRNA (ENSFCAG00000047022.1)". Lineage: Eukaryota; Metazoa; Chordata; Mammalia; Carnivora; Felidae. The record is from RNAcentral.
CCCGGACCAGCCUCGCAGCAGGGUUUUCUCUUCCGGGGAUCGGGGAUCGGGGAGACCUCUGAGCCAGAGUCCCCCUCCGUCUCCUACACCCACCGGCUGAGCGUUGCCCCUGCACCGCACCGCGCGUCCUUGUUUUUGUUGUCCUAAAAGCCUGAGCUGAAGCGGAAAUUUGGGAAGUCCUCUUUGGAACCCGAUGGGAUGGCCCUCAUCCUGACUCCCAUCCAGGCCUGGGCAGAGGAGGGAGGGCACCAGUGAGGCCCUCAGCCCCAGACCUUGCACCCCACAGUGGGAGCCGAGACGACGGAGGAAACAGCGUUUACCACCUGGGCGACCUUGACUGCAGCCGAUUAAAGUUUAAUCCGAGGUUGAGGUCCU